Molecule: ribosomal RNA, 709 nt
Filed under: Pseudomonas sp. OC-A3-2
Lineage: Bacteria; Pseudomonadati; Pseudomonadota; Gammaproteobacteria; Pseudomonadales; Pseudomonadaceae
Description: bacterial SSU rRNA
Rfam family: Bacterial small subunit ribosomal RNA
Source: RNAcentral
GGAUGAGAGGAGCUUGCUCCUUGAUUUAGCGGCGGACGGGUGAGUAAUGCCUAGGAAUCUGCCUGGUAGUGGGGGAUAACGUUCCGAAAGGAACGCUAAUACCGCAUACGUCCUACGGGAGAAAGCAGGGGACCUUCGGGCCUUGCGCUAUCAGAUGAGCCUAGGUCGGAUUAGCUAGUUGGUGAGGUAAUGGCUCACCAAGGCGACGAUCCGUAACUGGUCUGAGAGGAUGAUCAGUCACACUGGAACUGAGACACGGUCCAGACUCCUACGGGAGGCAGCAGUGGGGAAUAUUGGACAAUGGGCGAAAGCCUGAUCCAGCCAUGCCGCGUGUGUGAAGAAGGUCUUCGGAUUGUAAAGCACUUUAAGUUGGGAGGAAGGGCAUUAACCUAAUACGUUAGUGUUUUGACGUUACCGACAGAAUAAGCACCGGCUAACUUCGUGCCAGCAGCCGCGGUAAUACGAAGGGUGCAAGCGUUAAUCGGAAUUUACUGGGCGUAAAGCGCGCGUAAGUGGUUCGUUAAGUUGGAUGUGAAAGCCCCGGGCUCAACCUGGGAACUGCAUCCAAAACCUGGCGAGCUAAAGUACGGUAGAGGGUGGUGGAAUUUCCUGGUGUAGCGGUGAAAUGCGGUANAAUAUAGGAAGGAACACCCAGUGGCGAAGGCGACCACCUGGACUGAUACUGANCUGAGGUGCGAAAGCGUGGGGA